UUCCUACGGGACGCAGCAGUGAGGAAUAUUGGUCAAUGGGAGAGAUCCUGAACCAGCCAAGCCGCGUGAGGGAAGACGGCCCUAUGGGUUGUAAACCUCUUUUGUCGGAGAACAAAACCCGGGACGUGUCCCGGACUGCGUGUAUCCGAAGAAAAAGCAUCGGCUAACUCCGUGCCAGCAGCCGCGGUAAUACGGAGGAUGCGAGCGUUAUCCGGAUUUAUUGGGUUUAAAGGGUGCGCAGGCGGACCAUCAAGUCAGCGGUAAAAUCGUGGGGCCCAACCCCAUCCCGCCGUUGAAACUGGCGG
This 305-nucleotide ribosomal RNA is filed under the name uncultured bacterium. RNAcentral describes it as "bacterial SSU rRNA". It matches the Rfam family "Bacterial small subunit ribosomal RNA", at positions 336 to 639 of the family's 1533-position model. The record is from RNAcentral.